GAUGAACGCUGGCGGCGUGCCUAACACAUGCAAGUCGAGCGAACCUUUCGGGGUGAGCGGCGGACGGGUGAGUAACGCGUGGGUAACCUGCCCUGUACACACGGAUAACAUACCGAAAGGUAUGCUAAUACGGGAUAACAUAUGAGAGUCGCAUGGCUUUCAUAUCAAAGCUCCGGCGGUACAGGAUGGACCCGCGUCUGAUUAGCUAGUGGGUAAGGUAACGGCUUACCAAGGCAACGAUCAGUAGCCGACCUGAGAGGGUGAUCGGCCACAUUGGAACUGAGACACGGUCCAAACUCCUACGGGAGGCAGCAGUGGGGAAUAUUGCACAAUGGGCGAAAGCCUGAUGCAGCAACGCCGCGUGAGCGAUGAAGGCCUUCGGGUCGUAAAGCUCUGUCCUCAAGGAAGAUAAUGACGGUACUUGGGGAGGAAGCCCCGGCUAACUACGUGCCAGCAGCCGCCGUAA
This 466-nucleotide ribosomal RNA is filed under the name uncultured bacterium. RNAcentral describes it as "partial 16S ribosomal RNA". It matches the Rfam family "Bacterial small subunit ribosomal RNA", at positions 28 to 523 of the family's 1533-position model. The record is from RNAcentral.